This 958-nucleotide ribosomal RNA is filed under the name Rhipidandrus sp. COL656. RNAcentral's name for it is "SSU rRNA". It matches the Rfam family "Eukaryotic small subunit ribosomal RNA", at positions 32 to 934 of the family's 1831-position model. The record is from RNAcentral. Lineage: Eukaryota; Metazoa; Arthropoda; Insecta; Coleoptera; Tenebrionidae.
UUGUCUCAAAGAUUAAGCCAUGCAUGUCUCAGUACAAGCCAAAUUAAGGUGAAACCGCGAAAGGCUCAUUAAAUCAGUUAUGGUUCCUUAGAUCGUACCUAUAUUUACUUGGAUAACUGUGGUAAUUCUAGAGCUAAUACAUGCAAACAGAGCUCUGACCGGAGACGGAAGGAGCGCUUUUAUUAGAACAAAACCAAUCGGUGGCGGUUUCGGCCGUCAUCGUACAAUUUGUUGAAUCUGAAUAACUUUUGGCUGAUCGCACGGUCUUGCACCGGCGACGCAUCUUUCAAAUGUCUGCCUUAUCAACUGUCGAUGGUAGGUUCUGCGCCUACCAUGGUUGUAACGGGUAACGGGGAAUCAGGGUUCGAUUCCGGAGAGGGAGCCUGAGAAACGGCUACCACAUCCAAGGAAGGCAGCAGGCGCGCAAAUUACCCACUCCCGGCACGGGGAGGUAGUGACGAAAAAUAACGAUACGGGACUCAUCCGAGGCCCCGUAAUCGGAAUGAGUACACUCUAAACCCUUUAACGAGGAUCAAUUGGAGGGCAAGUCUGGUGCCAGCAGCCGCGGUAAUUCCAGCUCCAAUAGCGUAUAUUAAAGUUGUUGCGGUUAAAAAGCUCGUAGUCGAAUUUGUGUCCCGUGCCGCCGGUUCAUCGUUCGCGGUGUUAACUGGCGAGUUGCGGGACGUCCUGUCGGUGGGCUUAGCCCGCAAGGGCGGCCCAAGUUUUCCCGCCGCGGUGCUCUUCAUUGAGUGUCGAGGUGGGCCGACACGUUUACUUUGAACAAAUUAGAGUGCUUAAAGCAGGCUAAAAUUACGCCUGAAUAUUGUGUGCAUGGAAUAAUGGAAUAGGAUCUCGGUUCUAUUUUGUUGGUUUUCGGAACCCCGAGGUAAUGAUUAAUAGGAACGGAUGGGGGCAUUCGUAUUGCGACGUUAGAGGUGAAAUCUUGGAUCGUCGCAAG